RNAcentral lists this ribosomal RNA (847 nucleotides) under uncultured archaeon. RNAcentral's name for it is "bacterial SSU rRNA". It matches the Rfam family "Archaeal small subunit ribosomal RNA", at positions 1 to 844 of the family's 1478-position model. The record is from RNAcentral.
GCCCUUUUCCGGUUGAUCCUGCCGGAGGCCAUUGCUAUCGGGGUCCGAUUUAGCCAUGCUAGUCGAACGAGUUGAGACUCGUGGCGACCAGCUCAGUAACACGUGGCCAACCCACCCUGUAGACCGGAAUAGUCUCGGGAAACUGAGGGCAAUACCGGAUAGGCGAUCCGCGCUGGGAUGCGGGAUCGCCGAAAGGUGAGCCGCUACAGGACGGGGCUGCGGCCGAUUAGGUAGACGGUGGGGUAACGGCCCACCGUGCCAGUAAUCGGUACGGGUCAUGAGAGUGAGAGCCCGGAGACGGACUCUGAGACAAGAGUCCGGGCCCUACGGGGCGCAGCAGGCGCGAAACCUUUACACUGCACGCGAGUGCGAUAAGGGGACCCCGAGUGCGGAGGCAUAGUGCCUUCGCUUUUCUGGACUGUAGGGACGUCCAGGAAGAAGGGCUGGGCAAGACCGGUGCCAGCCGCCGCGGUAAUACCGGCAGCCCGAGUGAUGGCCGAUAUUAUUGGGCCUAAAGCGUCCGUAGCUGGCCGCGUACGUCCGUCGGGAAAUCCACGCGCUCAACGCGUGGGCGACCGACGGAGUCGGCGCGGCUUGGGACCGGAAGGCGCGACGGGUACGUCCGGGGUAGGAGUGAAAUCCUAUAAUCCCGGACGGACCGCCGAUGGCGAAAGCACGUCGCGAGGACGGCUCCGACAGUGAGGGACGAAAGCUGGGGUCUCGAACCGGAUUAGAUACCCGGGUAGUCCCAGCCGUAAACGAUGCCUGUUAGGUGUGGCACUCGCUACGAGCGGGUGCUGUGCCGUAGGGAAGCCGCUAAACAGGCCGCCUGGGGAAGUACGUCCGC